This 497-nucleotide ribosomal RNA is filed under the name uncultured bacterium. Its description in RNAcentral is "partial 16S ribosomal RNA". It matches the Rfam family "Bacterial small subunit ribosomal RNA", at positions 28 to 507 of the family's 1533-position model. The record is from RNAcentral.
GAUGAACGCUGGCGGCGUGCCUAAUACAUGCAAGUCGAGCGAACAGACGAGGAGCUUGCUCCUCUGACGUUAGCGGCGGACGGGUGAGUAACACGUGGAUAACCUACCUAUAAGACUGGGAUAACUUCGGGAAACCGGAGCUAAUACCGGAUAAUAUCUUGAACCGCAUGGUUCAAUAGUGAAAGACGGUUUUGCUGUCACUUAUCGAUGGAUCCGCGCCGCAUUAGCUAGUUGGUAAGGUAACGGCUUACCAAGGCAACGAUGCGUAGCCGAACUGAGAGGGUGAUAGGCCACACUGGAACUGAGACACGGACAAGACGCCUAAGGGAGGCAGCAGUAGGGAAUCUGCCGCAAUGGGCGAAGGCCUGACGGAGCAAGGCCGCGUGAGUGAUGAAGGUCUUCGGAUCGUAAAACUCUGUUAUGAGGGAAGAACAAAUGUGGAAGUAACUAUGCACGGCGUGACGGUACCUAAUCAGAAAGCCACGGCUAACUACGUG